RNAcentral lists this ribosomal RNA (494 nucleotides) under uncultured bacterium. Its description in RNAcentral is "bacterial SSU rRNA". It matches the Rfam family "Bacterial small subunit ribosomal RNA", at positions 903 to 1397 of the family's 1533-position model. The record is from RNAcentral.
AAAGGAAUAGACGGGGGCCCGCACAAGCGGAGGAGCAUGUGGUUUAAUUCGAUGAUACGCGAGGAACCUUACCUGGGCUCGAACGUAGAGCGACGUAUACUGAAAGGUAUAUUUCCUUCGGGACGAUCUACGAGGUGCUGCAUGGUUGUCGUCAGCUCGUGCCGUGAGGUGUUAGGUUAAGUCCUGCAACGAGCGCAACCCUUAUCUUUAGUUGCCAGCAUGUAACGAUGGGGACUCUAAAGAAACUGCCGGCGCAAGCCGUGAGGAAGGUGGGGAUGACGUCAAAUCAGCACGGCCCUUAUGUCCAGGGCGACACACGUGCUACAAUGGUCGAUACAAAGGGCAGCUACUUGGUGACAAGAUGCUAAUCUCUAAAGUCGAUCUCAGUUCGGAUCGAAGUCUGCAACUCGACUUCGUGAAGUCGGAUUCGCUAGUAAUCGCGCAUCAGCCACGGCGCGGUGAAUACGUUCCCGGGCCUUGUACACACCGCCCGU